AACGAACGCUGGCGGCAUGCCUAACACAUGCGAGUCGAACGAGACCUUCGGGUCUAGUGGCGCACGGGUGCGUAACGCGUGGGAACCUGCCCUUAGGUUCGGAAUAACUCCCCGAAAGGGGUGCUAAUACUGGAUAAUGUCUUCGGACCAAAGAUUUAUCGCCUUUGGAUGGGCCCGCGUUGGAUUAGCUAGUUGGUAGGGUAAAAGCCUACCAAGGCGACGAUCCAUAGCUGGUCUGAGAGGAUGAUCAGCCACACUGGGACUGAGACACGGCCCAGACUCCUACGGGAGGCAGCAGUGGGGAAUAUUGGACAAUGGGCGAAAGCCUGAUCCAGCAAUGCCGCGUGAGUGAUGAAGGCCUUAGGGUUGUAAAGCUCUUUUACCCGGGAUGAUAAUGACAGUACCGGGAGAAUAAGCGCCGGCUAACUCCGUG
This 433-nucleotide ribosomal RNA is filed under the name uncultured bacterium. Its description in RNAcentral is "partial 16S ribosomal RNA". It matches the Rfam family "Bacterial small subunit ribosomal RNA", at positions 29 to 507 of the family's 1533-position model. The record is from RNAcentral.